This 491-nucleotide ribosomal RNA is filed under the name uncultured bacterium. Its description in RNAcentral is "partial 16S ribosomal RNA". It matches the Rfam family "Bacterial small subunit ribosomal RNA", at positions 29 to 507 of the family's 1533-position model. The record is from RNAcentral.
GUGAACGCUGGCGGUAGGCCUAACACCUGCAAGUCGAACGGCAGCACAGUAAGAGCUUGCUCUUACGGGUGGCGAGUGGCGGACGGGUGAGGAAUACAUCGGAAUCUACUUUUUCGUGGGGGAUAACGUAGGGAAACUUACGCUAAUACCGCAUACGACCUACGGGUGAAAGCAGGGGAUCUUCGGACCUUGCGCGAUUGAAUGAGCCGAUGUCGGAUUAGCUAGUUGGCGGGGUAAAGGCCCACCAAGGCGACGAUCCGUAGCUGGUCUGAGAGGAUGAUCAGCCACACUGGAGCUGAGACACGGUCCAGACUCCUACGGGAGGCAGCAGUGGGGAAUAUUGGACAAUGGGCGCAAGCCUGAUCCAGCCAUACCGCGUGGGUGAAGAAGGCCUUCGGGUUGUAAAGCCCUUUUGUUGGGAAAGAAAAGCAGCAGGUUAAUACCCCGCUGUUCUGACGGUACCCAAAGAAUAAGCACCGGCUAACUUCGUG